This 374-nucleotide ribosomal RNA is filed under the name uncultured bacterium. RNAcentral's name for it is "bacterial SSU rRNA". It matches the Rfam family "Bacterial small subunit ribosomal RNA", at positions 524 to 898 of the family's 1533-position model. The record is from RNAcentral.
UACGAAGGGGGCUAGCGUUGUUCGGAUUUACUGGGCGUAAAGGGCGCGUAGGCGGUGCAAUAAGUCAGGCGUGAAAGCCCCGGGCUCAACCCGGGAAUUGCGCUUGAUACUGUUGCGCUUGAAUCCAGGAGAGGAUGGCGGAAUUCCCAGUGUAGAGGUGAAAUUCGUAGAUAUUGGGAAGAACACCAGUGGCGAAGGCGGCCAUCUGGCCUGGAAUUGACGCUGAGGCGCGAAAGCGUGGGGAGCAAACAGGAUUAGAUACCCUGGUAGUCCACGCUGUAAACGAUGAGUGCUAGACGUCGGGAAGCUUGCUUUUCGGUGUCGAAGCUAACGCAUUAAGCACUCCGCCUGGGGAGUACGGCCGCAAGGUUAAA